This 492-nucleotide ribosomal RNA is filed under the name uncultured bacterium. Its description in RNAcentral is "partial 16S ribosomal RNA". It matches the Rfam family "Bacterial small subunit ribosomal RNA", at positions 29 to 507 of the family's 1533-position model. The record is from RNAcentral.
AGUGAACGCUGGCGGUAGGCCUAACACAUGCAAGUCGAACGGACGCACAGUAAGAGCUUGCUCUUACGGGUGGCGAGUGGCGGACGGGUGAGGAAUACAUAGGAAUCUACUUUUUCGUGGGGGAUAACGUAGGGACACUUACGCUAAUACCGCAUACGACCUACGGGUGAAAGCAGGGGAUAUUCGGACCUUGCGCGAUUGAAUGAGCCGAUGUCGGAUUAGCUAGUUGGCGGGGUAAAGGCCCACCAAGGCGACGAUCCGUAGCUGGUCUGAGAGGAUGAUCAGCCACACUGGAACUGAGGCACGGUCCAGACUCCUACGGGAGGCAGCAGUGGGGAAUAUUGGACAAUGGGCGCAAGCCUGAUCCAGCCAUACCGCGUGGGUGAAGAAGGCCUUCGGGUUGUAAAGCCCUUUUGUUGGGAAAGAAAAGCAGCAGGUUAAUACCCCGCUGUUCUGACGGUACCCAAAGAAUAAGCACCGGCUAACUUCGUG